This 523-nucleotide ribosomal RNA is filed under the name Saccharomyces cerevisiae (brewer's yeast). RNAcentral's name for it is "partial large subunit ribosomal RNA". It matches the Rfam family "Eukaryotic large subunit ribosomal RNA", at positions 49 to 575 of the family's 3401-position model. The record is from RNAcentral. Lineage: Eukaryota; Fungi; Ascomycota; Saccharomycetes; Saccharomycetales; Saccharomycetaceae.
AGCGGAGGAAAAGAAACCAACCGGGAUUGCCUUAGUAACGGCGAGUGAAGCGGCAAAAGCUCAAAUUUGAAAUCUGGUACCUUCGGUGCCCGAGUUGUAAUUUGGAGAGGGCAACUUUGGGGCCGUUCCUUGUCUAUGUUCCUUGGAACAGGACGUCAUAGAGGGUGAGAAUCCCGUGUGGCGAGGAGUGCGGUUCUUUGUAAAGUGCCUUCGAAGAGUCGAGUUGUUUGGGAAUGCAGCUCUAAGUGGGUGGUAAAUUCCAUCUAAAGCUAAAUAUUGGCGAGAGACCGAUAGCGAACAAGUACAGUGAUGGAAAGAUGAAAAGAACUUUGAAAAGAGAGUGAAAAAGUACGUGAAAUUGUUGAAAGGGAAGGGCAUUUGAUCAGACAUGGUGUUUUGUGCCCUCUGCUCCUUGUGGGUAGGGGAAUCUCGCAUUUCACUGGGCCAGCAUCAGUUUUGGUGGCAGGAUAAAUCCAUAGGAAUGUAGCUUGCCUCGGUAAGUAUUAUAGCCUGUGGGAAUACU